Molecule: ribosomal RNA, 845 nt
Filed under: uncultured bacterium
Lineage: Bacteria
Description: bacterial SSU rRNA
Rfam family: Bacterial small subunit ribosomal RNA
Source: RNAcentral
GAUGAACGCUGGCGGUGUGCCUUAAGCAUGCAAGUCGAACGAUACGUUCAGCGCGCAAGCGCAUGAACGUAUAGUGGCAGACGGGUGAGUACAACGUAGGAAUCUACCUUAAAGUGUGGAAUAGCCCCGCGAAAGCGGGGGUAAUACCGCAUGUGAUCGCAAGAUCAAAGGCCCUAACCGGCCGCUUUAAGAGGAGCCUGCGCCCUAUCAGCUAGUUGGCGGGGUAAAUGCCCACCAAGGCGAUGACGGGUAGGGGGUGUGAGAGCACGACCCCCCACAAGGUCACUGAGACACGGGACCUACACCUACGGGUGGCAGCAACUGGGAAUCUUGCGCAAUGGACGAAAGUCUGACGCAGCGACACCGCGUGUGGGAUGAAGUAUUUCGGUAUGUAAACCACUGUGAUAAGGGAUAAAGAUCUGAUAGUACCUUAUUAGAAAGCAUCUGCUAACUACGUGCCAGAAGCCUCGGCAAUGCGUGGGAUGCAAGCGUUAUCCGGAUUUACUGGGCGUAAAGGGUUUCGCAGGCGGAUUGUUAAGUCUAGUCUUAAAUACUGAGGCUCAACCUCAGCUACAGGAUUGGAUACUGGCAAUCUUGAGGAUAUCAGGGGGAACUGGAAUACUCGGUGGAGGGGUAAAAUCCGUUGAGAUCGAGUAGAACGCCAAUGGCGAAGGCAGGUUCCUGGGGUAUUCCUGACGCUCAGGUACGAAAGCUAGGGUAGCAAACGGGAUUAGAGACCCCGGUAGUCCUAGCCGUAAACAAUGAAUACUAGCUGCUUCUUUUUUAAGGGGUGGCGUAAGCUAACGCGUUAAGUAUUCCGCCUGGGUAGUACGGCCGCAAGGUUA